UAAGGAAUAUUGGUCAAUGGACGAAAGUCUGAACCAGCCAUGCCGCGUGGAGGAUGAAGGUCCUCUGGAUUGUAAACUUCUUUUAUCUGGGACGAAAAAAGGGUUUUCUAACUCACUUGACGGUACCAGAUGAAUAAGCACCGGCUAACUCCGUGCCAGCAGCCGCGGUAAUACGGAGGGUGCAAGCGUUAUCCGGAUUCACUGGGUUUAAAGGGUGCGUAGGCGGGCAUGUAAGUCAGUGGUGAAAUCUCCGGGCUUAACUCGGAAACUGCCAUUGAUACUAUAUGUCUUGAGUACAGUUGAGGUAGGCGGAAUGUGUCAUGUAGCGGUGAAAUGCUUAGAUAUGACACAGAACACCGAUUGCGAAGGCAGCUUGCUAAGCUGUAACUGACGCUGAGGCACGAAAGCGUGGGGAGCAAACA
This 422-nucleotide ribosomal RNA is filed under the name uncultured bacterium. Its description in RNAcentral is "bacterial SSU rRNA". It matches the Rfam family "Bacterial small subunit ribosomal RNA", at positions 355 to 774 of the family's 1533-position model. The record is from RNAcentral.